RNAcentral lists this unclassified non-coding RNA (402 nucleotides) under soil metagenome. RNAcentral describes it as "partial contains 5.8S ribosomal RNA, internal transcribed spacer 2, and large subunit ribosomal RNA". The stretch from base 1 to 121 matches the Rfam family "5.8S ribosomal RNA", at positions 35 to 154 of the family's 154-position model. The record is from RNAcentral.
GAUGAAGAACGCAGCGAAAUGCGAUAAGUAAUGUGAAUUGCAGAAUUCAGUGAAUCAUCGAAUCUUUGAACGCACCUUGCGCCCUUUGGCUAUUCUGAAGGGCAUGCCUGUUUGAGUAUCGUGAACACCUCAACUCUCAUGGUCUGCCAUGAUGAGCUUGGACUUUGGGGGUCUUGCUGGCCUACUGUCAGCUCCUCUCAAAUGAAUCAGCUUACCAGUGUUUGGUGGCACCACAGGUGUGAUAACUAUCUACGCUUGUGGUUUUCUGCCCGGUAACCUCCAGUGAUGGAGGUUCGCUGGAGCUCACAAAUGUCUCUCCUCAGCGAGGACAGCUUUUUGAACGUUUGAUCUCAAAUCAGGUAGGACUACCCGCUGAACUUAAGCAUAUCAAUAAGCGGAGGA